This 253-nucleotide ribosomal RNA is filed under the name uncultured bacterium. RNAcentral's name for it is "partial 16S ribosomal RNA". It matches the Rfam family "Bacterial small subunit ribosomal RNA", at positions 524 to 776 of the family's 1533-position model. The record is from RNAcentral.
GACGAGCUCCCCGAACGUUAUUCGGUAUUACUGGGCUUAAAGAGUUCGUAGGCGGUCUGACAGGUCAGGUGUGAAAUCCCUCGGCUCAACCGAGGAACUGCGCUUGAAACCGUUAGACUUGAGGGAGAUAGAGGUGAGCGGAACAGAUGGUGGAGCGGUGAAAUGCGUUGAUAUCAUCUGGAACACCGGUGGCGAAAGCGGCUCACUGGAUCUUUUCUGACGCUGAGGAACGAAAGCUAGGGUAGCGAACGGG